Molecule: RNA transcript, 1448 nt
Organism: Temnothorax curvispinosus
Lineage: Eukaryota; Metazoa; Arthropoda; Insecta; Hymenoptera; Formicidae
Gene name: brefeldin A-inhibited guanine nucleotide-exchange protein 1-like
Exons: 6
Source: RefSeq, a predicted model, not a curated record
CUAUUAGCUAGCGGAGGUAUUCGUAUGUAUUUGACCGGAAAUGAAUGUCCGGGAAAGAAUCUACCAUAUGAAAUCGUUUGUAUUUCGUAUGAAGACUUUUGAAGUGCAAUUGAAAAGAGGACCUCCGUAACGAGAUCAAAGAUGUACACCAGCUGUGCAGGGUGAAGAGGUUAUCUCAAACGCCCUUAAUUGGGCCACAGCCCAAUUAAGAGCGACUCAAAUGUCAUUACCGCUAAGUACUUCUUGCCAUUUGAGUCAGCAUGUUAGAGCUAGUCACUACGGAUUGUGGUGACACAGCACUGGACUGCCUGCAGAAGUUAAUCGCAUAUAGUCAUUUCACUAGCAAUGUGCCUGAUCCAACGGAGCCUUUGGGGUUGCUUCACCGGUCCACAGACCGAUGAGAGUGUGCAGCUGCAGAUUAUUAAAGCUCUGCUGACUGUAAUGACAAGCCAGCAUGUGGAGGUAUACGAGGAUGAUCAACGUGAUCUUCGCGCGAAUGGAGACUCAGGCGGAGGAAGAGAACGUGAGGCUUGAUGGGGAACAUCAGCAGGAGGGUUCUGUCAUAGCAAACGGCAAAACUGAAGCUGAGCUAAGUCUUAGUUAGCUAAGUCUAACUAGCUCAUCUAACAUCUUCAUGAAACUUUACGUUGCGUGCGUCUAUUUAAUGACGAUGGAUGUAGAAAGCUCUUCAAAUCACUUCGAGAGGAUUAUCAAAAGCGAUCUCCUUAUAUCGCAUAUUUAAUCAGAUGUCGUCAGGGAUUGCUGUCGACAUUAGCUCACUUAGAUAGAUUAUGCGUGCGAGUUAAGUGCGAUCGGGAUGCUAUCAAUAAUCAUCUUGUAUCCGUUUGUGUGAGGGUAUUUUUGGAAAAAAAGAUGGCUUUCCUCCUGCGUUUCUGCGAAGAGUUUAAAAAGCUUACGCUAGCUGACGAGAAACAGGAUCUCGUGGAUAAUUGUCUAGGGAAGGUCCAUGUGGAAAUGGACAACGAUCCGAUUUGACAAUCGGCAAGCGCCAACCAGUUAGAUUUGGCGAGAGUCGUGGUGGAAAGAACCGUCAUGGCACGGAUAUAUACCACAAUGCGCUCUAUCUAAAUAAAGAUGGAGAUGUAUAUAGGGACCAGCUUUUUCACGGUCAUAUCAAUAAGUUGGCAAAGGUUGUAACUCCAAAUCACAGGGACCUACGCGCGCAUUUCAAAAGUUUAUCAUUACGAAUGCCCCUGGUCAUGGGCGCAGGCUGAAUUGGCUGUGAUAUCGGCGUAUAAGACUCCUAGAGAUAAGUUGCAGUGUGUAUUUCGUUGCGCGACUACCAUCAUCUCUUCUCCAUGGCGUCGGGAAGAGGCAUACCUGCUGCCGACGAUCUGACUCCCGUGCUGGUCUACAGACUAAUCCGCCGUCGUUGUAUCGACUGUUCAAUAUGUAGACAGCUUUUACGGGAAUCGAUUGGAGGGAGA